RNAcentral lists this unclassified non-coding RNA (387 nucleotides) under Hevea brasiliensis (rubber tree). The record is from RNAcentral. Lineage: Eukaryota; Viridiplantae; Streptophyta; Magnoliopsida; Malpighiales; Euphorbiaceae.
AAAAAAACAAUACACAAUCCAGGUCUUAGGUUUUAGGAAAAGCUUUCCAUUGUCAAGGAGCUCAAAUCUCAUUUCGAAAUCUCAACAGAUAUUUACAUGCAACUACAAACUGUUAAUGGACCUUUUCUUCCUCCUACAAAAACAUCACAAAUUUGCUAAGCAGUCUCCUUCUUCCGAUAUGCUAGAAUCAAAUGAUCUCUACUGGAAGUGCAAUUGGCUUUAAGAUGUGCCAAAGUUUCCUGCCCUUUCAAAAUUUGCAGUUCAUCCACUGAAAUUGGUGGAUGCAGAGAGGAUAGGUUGUCAUUAGGGUUGUGCUGCCCUUUAACUAAAAAUAUUUCAACUUCUUCAGGCUCCAAAGCCUUUUUGUGAGCAAUAUAUUCGCAUAGG